UAGGGUUAGGGAGUUAGGGUUAGGGUUAGGGUUAGGGUUAGGGGUCAGGGUAGGCGCUAACCUGUAUGCACUGUCCAUCUAAUGUCGCUCACUCCACUGGGUUUCACCCCCAUGUCAGUCGGUCCAUUCCCACCAUUCUUUUUCUCUUUUGUUUUUUUCUACAGGAACUAUACUGGCACGGGUCGGCCUACGGAACGGCGACCCGGAAAGAGUUCCCUCGGACUCAGUGUGAGAGGACUCUUGGGGAGAUUGGAACCAGGUAAGUAGGCUUAUUUAUUAUUUUUUUAUGUUUUUUUGUGUUCUCAGGUAAGUAGGAUCUUAAUUAGUAUCAUGUACUUUUUUAUUUUCAGGAAAAUGGGGCUCGAUUUGUGUUAGGUGCUUUUUAAGUAAUUGUGGAAUUAUGUAUUAUAUGCUAUAUUAUCAAGUGUAUUUUGAGGAAUUUUUAUUUCAG
Ictalurus punctatus (channel catfish) is the source of this 451-nucleotide long non-coding RNA. Lineage: Eukaryota; Metazoa; Chordata; Actinopteri; Siluriformes; Ictaluridae. The record is from Ensembl.